UACGUAGGGGGCGAGCGUUGUCCGGAUUUAUUGGGCGUAAAGCGCGUGCAGGCGGCCCGUUAAGUCGGCCGUGAAAGCUCCGGGCUCAACUCGGAGAGGUCGGGCGAGACUGGCGGGCUCGAGGCUGGCAGAGGGCGGUGGAAUUCCUGGUGUAGCGGUGAAAUGCGCAGAUAUCAGGAGGAACACCAAUUGCGAAGGCAGCUCGCUGGGACGUUACUGACGCUGAGACGCGAAAGCGUGGGGAGCAAACAGG
Molecule: ribosomal RNA, 253 nt
Filed under: uncultured bacterium
Lineage: Bacteria
Description: partial 16S ribosomal RNA
Rfam family: Bacterial small subunit ribosomal RNA
Source: RNAcentral